Long non-coding RNA from Podarcis raffonei (Aeolian wall lizard), 955 nucleotides. RefSeq lists it as uncharacterized. The transcript is spliced from 3 exons. Lineage: Eukaryota; Metazoa; Chordata; Lepidosauria; Squamata; Lacertidae. The record is from RefSeq and is a predicted model, not a curated record.
GGUAGAUGUCAUGUUGAAUUGUGGUUGUUGUUUUAAUGAUUCCCCCUGCGCCUCGUUUAUGUCAUAGUGGGUCUUUCCCCCCCCUGUAAGCUGCCUUGAGUCCCUUCAGAAGAAAAGGUAGGCAGAACUGCACGCAAACAGUGCAGAAAUGGGAGAAAGUGCAUCAGUGGUCAGCAAACAGCAAAUCUGUUAGAAAAGAACCACAACUUGUAGCGCAACCGUAAGGAAAAUACUCCUGCAGCAUUUGGGACUUUGGUUUAGAGAAAAGAGGUCAAGCUCGCUUUGUAAGAUGCAUGAAGUGUUGGUGCUGACCUUUAAAGCCCUAAACAGCCUCGGUCCAGUAAUCUGAAGGAGCAUCUCCACCCCCAUCGUUCUGCCCAGACACUGAGGUCCAACGCCGAGGGCCUUCUGGCGAUUCCCUCACUGCGAGAAGCCAAGUUACAGGGAACCAGGCAGAAGGCCUUCUCGGUAGUGGCACCCACCCUGUGGAACGCGCUCCCACCAGAUGUCAAAGAGAACAACAACUACCAGACUUUUAGAAGACAUCUGAAGGCAGCCCUGUUUAGGGAAGCUUUUAAUAUCUAAGGACUAUUGUAUUUUAAUAUUUUGUUGGAAGCCGCCCAGAGUGGCUGGGGAAGCCCAGCCAGAUGGGCGGGGUAUAAAUAAUAAAUUAUUAUAUUAUUAUAUGACAUGAAAUAUUAGUUGGCAGGUAUAUGAAGCAGAAAAUUAUGAGAUGCAAAAAUUACAGCCAGUGAUCACUGGGGCUUAUAUAUAAGAGGCACACCUUAACCUUUUACAGUAGCAGACUGUUGAUCAUUUACUGAGCAUUGCUGUCACCAUUGUAUAAUUAACAGCUUAUAUUUUGGGAAUGAUUCCUGUUCUUAUGUAGCUGCGUUGUUUCAUACUUUCUCGAUGUCCCAUGAUCAUAUUAUAAAGUUGUUGUGUUCUAUGUUGC